AUCAAUUUAGAGAGUGAACAGACUCUGAACUUAAUGUUAUUUCCUCUGUUGCUUGGUUGAAUGUUAUAAUCAUGGUCAAAGCAAUCAUUUUAAAUAUAAUCAUUAUCUACUGGUUACCAGUUUGUGUGGUUUGUUCUCCUGUCAUUCAGCAGUCUCCCAAACAUCUCCUACAGACAGUGGAGGAGAAAGAUGCAAAGCUUUCUUGCCGUCAUGGUGAUAAUGACUAUCCAUACCUGUACUGGUAUCAACAGAAAAACAGUAGUGGUUCUUUGGAGCUCAUUGGAAUGCUCAGUUAUGGUGCAGAUUCUGAAGAGGAGAAAUUUAAACCUCGAUUUGACAUCACAGGACAUGCAAAAGAGGAUGCAUUCCUGCUCAUAUCCAACAUAACUGCUGAGGACAGCGCAGUUUAUUUCUGUGCAGCACGUGCACACAGCUGUACAAUUCCUUAUAACCGCUGA
This is a non-coding RNA of Labeo rohita (rohu), 458 nucleotides long. NCBI's taxonomy places the organism in Eukaryota, Metazoa, Chordata, Actinopteri, Cypriniformes, Cyprinidae. The record is from the annotation of a RefSeq genome assembly.